RNAcentral lists this ribosomal RNA (433 nucleotides) under uncultured bacterium. RNAcentral describes it as "partial 16S ribosomal RNA". It matches the Rfam family "Bacterial small subunit ribosomal RNA", at positions 29 to 507 of the family's 1533-position model. The record is from RNAcentral.
AACGAACGCUGGCGGCAUGCCUAACACAUGCAAGUCGAACGAGACCUUCGGGUCUAGUGGCGCACGGGGGCGUAACGCGUGGGAACCUGCCCUUAGGUUCGGAAUAACUCCCCGAAAGGUGUGCUAAUACCGGAUAAUGUCUUCGGACCAAAGAUUUAUCGCCUUUGGAUGGGCCCGCGUUGGAUUAGCUAGUUGGUAGUGUAAAAGCCUACCAAGGCGACGAUGCAUAGCUGGUCUGAGAGGAUGAUCAGCCACACUGGGACUGCGACACGGCCCAGACUCCUACGGGAGGCAGGAGUGGGGAAUAUUGGACAAUGGGCGAAAGCCUGAUCAAGCCAUGCCGCGUGAGUGAUGAAGGCCUUAGGGUUGUAAAGCUGUUUUACCCGGGAUGAUAAUGACAGUACCGGGAGAAUAAGCUCCGGCUAACUACGUG